RNAcentral lists this long non-coding RNA (568 nucleotides) under Homo sapiens (human). RNAcentral's name for it is "CFAP95 divergent transcript". Lineage: Eukaryota; Metazoa; Chordata; Mammalia; Primates; Hominidae. The record is from RNAcentral.
AGAAUGCAGUGAGGGUAGCGACCGGGCUACACAGGUGAUGAAGGGGGGAACUGCAUCCUGGGAUCCGCAGUUUCGCCUGUCCACCCGCCAAAUCCUAAGAGUGGCUGAGCGCAGUUAUUGGGGAGUGUAGAAACAGGGUUUCACCAUGUUGGCCAUGCUGGUCUCGAACUCCAGAACUCAAGUGAUCCGUCCGCCUCGGUCUUCCAAACUGCUGGGAUUACAGGCGUGAGCCACCGCGCCCAGCCUUUGGGGAAGUUCUUUUUACCGUCCAUCAUCCAUUGCCACCACACCUUCUGCUUACGAGUUAUUUAUAAUAAGUUUAACUAAAAGAGAACGAGAGAACAUCCCCUGAAACCCAAAGUUUGUCAUUCUAUACAGCUUUCCUGCCUGCAAAAGAGGAGGAGCAGACUCAUCCAGCAAAUCACCUAAAAAGUUUGAAGAUCAAAAAGCCUAGCUCCAGUUUCAGAUCCUUCCCCUACCUUUCUGAACACUAGUUUCUUCCUCUGAAAAACGAAAGAGGGAACGGGACCGUAGAGUGGAGUGGGCACAAGAAUCGCAAGUCCCUUCU